RNAcentral lists this ribosomal RNA (305 nucleotides) under uncultured bacterium. Its description in RNAcentral is "bacterial SSU rRNA". It matches the Rfam family "Bacterial small subunit ribosomal RNA", at positions 333 to 654 of the family's 1533-position model. The record is from RNAcentral.
UAGCGCCUACGGGGGGCAGCAGUGGGGAAUAUUGCACAAUGGGGGAAACCCUGAUGCAGCAACGCCGCGUGAGUGAAGAAGUAUUUCGGUAUGUAAAGCUCUAUCAGCAGGGAAGAAGAAAGACGGUACCUGACUAAGAAGCCCCGGCUAACUACGUGCCAGCAGCCGCGGUAAUACGUAUGGAGCAAGCGUUAUCCGGAUUUACUGGGUGUAAAGGGAGCGCAGACGGCAGGGCAAGUCUGAUGUGAAAGUCCGGGGCUCAACCCCGGGACUGCAUUGGAAACUGUCCGGCUAGAGUGCAGGAG